GUAAGGAAUAUUGGUCAAUGGACGCAAGUCUGAACCAGCCAUGCCGCGUGAAGGAUGAAGGUCCUCUGGAUUGUAAACUUCUUUUAUCUGGGACGAAAACGGGAUUUUUAUCUCAAUUGACGGUACCAGAGGAAUAAGCACCGGCUAACUCCGUGCCAGCAGCCGCGGUAAUACGGAGGGUGCGAGCGUUAUCCGGAUUUACUGGGUUUAAAGGGUGCGUAGGUGGGCUUAUAAGUCAGUGGUGAAAUCUCCGAGCUUAACUUGGAAACUGCCGUUGAUACUAUAGGUCUUGAAUUAUCUGGAGGUCAGCGGAAUAUGUCAUGUAGCGGUGAAAUGCUUAGAUAUGACAUAGAACACCAAUUGCGAAGGCAGCUUACUACAUAUAAAUUGACGCUGAGGCACGAAAGCGUGGGGAUCAAACA
Molecule: ribosomal RNA, 422 nt
Filed under: uncultured bacterium
Lineage: Bacteria
Description: bacterial SSU rRNA
Rfam family: Bacterial small subunit ribosomal RNA
Source: RNAcentral